AGUGCAUAAGGUUGUCAUGGGUGGUGGCUCGCUCCCUUUUAGAAAGGGGGUGAUGCCAAUGGCAGUAUUUGAGGCAAUUGUUCUGAUGAUUUCUUUUGGAACGUUAAUCGUUGCUAUCCUGUCGUUUAACAAUAAAAAAUAACCACCCUACGCGCCUGACAGCUAAGUAGGUGGUUAUUUUAUCAACCAAUUAGCGAGUCGCCCCUUUGAAGGGCUACUGCACUGAUACCGUUAGUGUUACAGCAUUAACG
Oceanobacillus picturae is the source of this 251-nucleotide small RNA. It matches the Rfam family "BsrG". Rfam says of the family: bsrE, bsrG and bsrH pair through intermolecular interactions with antisense sRNAs. SR4 interaction with the 3'UTR of bsrG RNA promotes bsrG degradation and inhibits its translation. SR5 also overlaps bsrG from nucleotide 163 to 52 (Rfam overlap check). NCBI's taxonomy places the organism in Bacteria, Bacillati, Bacillota, Bacilli, Caryophanales, Bacillaceae. The record is from Rfam.